Molecule: ribosomal RNA, 333 nt
Filed under: uncultured bacterium
Lineage: Bacteria
Description: bacterial SSU rRNA
Rfam family: Bacterial small subunit ribosomal RNA
Source: RNAcentral
CGUGUAGGCGGAUGGGGACGUCGGUUGCUGAAAUCCCCCGGCUCAACCGGGGAACGGGCACCGAAACGCCCCGUCUGGAGGGACGUAGGGGGACCUGGAACUUCCGGUGGAGCGGUGAAAUGCGUUGAGAUCGGAAGGAACGCCCGUGGCGAAAGCGAGGUCCUGGACGUUUUCUGACGCUGAGACGCGAAAGCUAGGGGAGCGAACGGGAUUAGAUACCCCGGUAGUCCUAGCUGUAAACGAUGGGCACUGGGUAGGGGGCUCGCCGAUGGGCUCUCUGCCGUAGGGAAACCGUGAAGUGCCCCGCCUGGGGAGUAUGGUCGCAAGGCUGAA